This 2047-nucleotide ribosomal RNA is filed under the name uncultured eukaryote. Its description in RNAcentral is "SSU rRNA". It matches the Rfam family "Eukaryotic small subunit ribosomal RNA". The record is from RNAcentral.
AACCUGGUUGAUCCUGCCAGUUGUCAUAUGCUUGUUUCAAGGACUAAGCCAUGCAAAUGUCAGUGGACUCGUGAGAUUCUCGGGAGGACUGUGUACGGCUCAUUAAACGGUUAAUGGUCUACCCAACAGAGGGAGCUCUCGGGCUUUCCAACGGGAUAACUGCUCGAAACGGGCAGCUAAUACCUGGAAGAAAAAUCCUUCAACAUUCCACCGCAGAGACCGGGUUACACUGGUUUCUGUGGGUUGGAGGAUGCUAUUGGCCGGAACAAAGAGCUGACGCCUUUAGGCAGUUGUAAUUGUUGACGCAGGCCAAUGUAGCGGAAGCGCUUCAGCGCGUUGUUGGACGAAUUCACCACCUAUCAGGUUUGAAGGUAGUGUAGUGGACUACCUUGCCUUUGACGGGUAACGGGGGAUUGGGGUUCGAUUCCGGAGAGGGUGCCUGAGAAACGGCAACCAUGACUACGGUCAGCAGCAGGCGCGCAAAUUGCCCAAUGCUAACAAAUAGCGAGGCAGCGACGAAAAAUAGUAUUUCUGCGGCCGAAUGGUCGGCAGGAUGCAAUGGAUUGUAUCUGAUACACACUGUUGAGCAACUAUUGGAGGGCAAGUCUGGUGCCAGCAGCCGCGGUAAUUCCAGCUCCAAGAGCGUAUAUAAACGUUGUUGCGGUUAAAAAGCCCGUAGUUGGAUUUGAGCACGUCACUUGUGCAUCCGAUGCUCCAGGGCUUCGGUUUUGGAACGUCGGGAGCACGAAUAGUGGGGUGCUGAGACAUGCGGGAACGUCCACUGGUACCUCGGUCAUUCAGUUGUCCGGGGUGCAACUUCGGAGAGAUUACACUCCUACAGGUGCGCCCGCAGCCGUCACUGUGAGUAAAACAGAGUGUUCAAGGCAACCAUCAACUUGGUUGAAUGUUAAAGCAUGGAAUGACAAAGGAUCGACCUUCGGGCCUCUUUUUGUUGGUUCUUUGUGCCUUGCAAGGGGAAUUUUGCGGCCAAGUCCCAAGAGGUCGUCCACUCCGUGGGGACUGAUUGGCUUGGUCGUGCCGGGAUCAAUAGGAGCACAGGGGGCUAUGGGUACUUGAGGGCUAGUGGUGAAAUACUGAGACCCCUCAAAGACCGACAUCAGCGAAAGCACUUAGCUAUUGUGCUUUCAUUAAUCAAGGACGAGAGAUCGGGGAUUGAAGAGGAUUAGACACCCUCGUAAUCCGUUCUGUAAAUUCUGCAGACUUGGGAUCGGUCAGCGCUCUGUAUUAAGACCUGAUCGGCACCUUCCUCCUCUAUCGAGAAAUCAAAGUUUUUGUGUUCCGGGGGGAGUACAUUCGCAAGGCUGAAACUUAAAGGAAUUGACGGAGAACCACCACCAGUCGUGGAGUGUGUGGCUUAAUUCGACUCAACACGGGAAAUUUUACCAGGCCAGGAAGUGGUGAGGAUUGCCAGAUUGAUAGCUCUUGCAUGAUUCCGCUAAGGGUGGUGCAUGGCCGCUUCUGGUUGGUGAAGUGAUUUGUCUGCUUAAUUGCGAUAACGAACGAGAUCUCUGCCAAUUACUAGACGUCGGUGUCGACUUAGGCAAUCCUGGUGCCUCUUCCUUCGGGGGGCUGGCCACUUAGGGUGCUGAGACGCUUGUAUGUUUACUUAUUGGGAUUACGUAAUUUCAAUUACGUUGAAACAAGAGCCCAAAGCAGGUCUGUGAUGCUCCUAUAUGUUCUGGGCUGCACGCGCACUACACUGAUUCAGCCAACGAGCUUCUGACUUUCGUCAGCCUGUCCCGAAGGGGCAUGGGGAAUCUUUUGAGUCUGAGUCGUGAUGGGGAUUGAUGCUUGUAAUUAUUCUCCAUGAACGAGGAAUGUCUUGUAUCCGCGUUUCAUCAGAACGCAGAGAAUACGUCCCUGGUUCUUGUACACACCGCCCGUCGUUGCCUGUGAUGGAUUGUUGGUAGAGCCAUCUGGAGGUGAUUUGCUUCUGGUAGAUCUGCCGAAAUUUGGCAAUACUCCCAAUCUAGAAGAGGCAAAAGUCGUAACAAGGUACUUGUAGGUGAACCUGCAGAAGGAUCAA